CUAACCUUGAACACACUUGCAGAUCUUUCUUCAUAAAUCUUCUGGAAUGCGACUUUUAUCUACAGAAGACGUAUCGGUCUUUGAAGGAAUAGUAGGAGAGACAAAGAUUCCAAGAACACGAUUAUCAAUUGAUGAUGUAUUGAUAUUUCAAGAAGUAGUAAAAGAAAGGAAGGCCUCAAGAGGCACUGCACACACAGUGUGUGACACAAGCUCUCAAGAUAAUAUAAUUGCGCGCCUGGACUUUUACACAUCGCGUCUGUCAGCUGGGUGGGUGAAAGAGACAACUUUCAAAAAAUGUAGCCAAGGAGUAAGAAAAGACAGGUACUUUACCGAUCCUAUUAGUCAUCUCGUAUUUCGUACAAAGAAGUCCGCACAUCAACACUUUUGGACCCAAAAAAAUCAUAAGGAUGGUACUUGGCCGACACGAAGUGUUACGAAGAAGUACUUUUCCGAUAAGUGCAAAGACUUGCUUGAUAAAAAGGGAUUCGAUCAUCAAUAUGAGCCACAAGGAGAGAGGCCCGAAACUUCGGGUACUAGCUAGAGGCAACGAGGUAAUGACAUCCUCGCAAGCUAGGAUGCUACUAGCAAGCAAUCGAGGCCAAGAAGAAUAUCGAGAAAUAUAUAGAGGAAACCAAAGUAUUUAAUGGCGGUAUAGUUUUUCCUGAGCAAAACAAAAUACCGUCAUUGUGAAGCUAUUCGGUUUUUUCCAUCUUGUGUUCUGAACUUGAUAUGGUGGUUUUGUUGAGAAACUUAUACUGAUGGGAUGGUGUUAGGAGGCUUUGGUCCCAUAGUCCGACUCUAUGCAUGGAGUCCAAAACAUCUUCUGUUUUCGCCAAAUUUUUUUACUGUACUGUUGUCGGAUUCUACUGUUCCUGCUAUGUGAGAUGGAGUAAUCGAGUUUUCAAAA
Lolium perenne is the source of this 907-nucleotide long non-coding RNA. RefSeq lists it as uncharacterized. The record is from RefSeq and is a predicted model, not a curated record. NCBI's taxonomy places the organism in Eukaryota, Viridiplantae, Streptophyta, Magnoliopsida, Poales, Poaceae.